UUUGAGGGCCCUUGGGGUGGUGGUCUUGCUGCCCUUCCACAUCCAUCAUCCCGGUGCUUCCUCGUUCAGGCAGUCUCAAAGGCUUUCUGUUGUUAUAUGUUUCCUCUCCCUUUCAGGGAGGCUAUGAGGACCUGGAAAGCAAACCCAAAGAAGCAACCUCAGGCUCUGGAUUCACCCUUCGUACCUCAUUAAAAAAAUUAUAUCCUACACUCUACACCCCAUUAUCUUAUUCUUGUGGGCCAUAAAAAUUCAUGAACUCACAAUAAUAUAAAUGAGAUGAGAUGAUUGAUGUGGUGCACUAUUAUAGUGCAGGAUAUAAUUUCUCACCUUAUAUAUCGAAUUAUUCUUUGUGCAAGAUGUGAUGGCGCACCAUGCCAAUAACAUUAUCUUAUUCUUGUGGGCCAUAAAAAUUCAUGAGCUCACAAUAAUAUAAAUGAGAUGAGAUGAUUGAUGUGGGCACUAUCAUAUAGUGUAGGAUAUAAGAUAUAUUUUUUUCAAGUUACGAGGUAAACAAAGAUUAAGAUGGUCAAUUAUAUCUAAAAUCAUACUUUUGUGAUCUAGCCUAGGUUGUGCUUAUGUUAAUUUAUGGAAUGAGCCAUAUGAUGCCCUCAAUGAAGUGCAUGGGGGAGAGCAACCACCAACCACAGUAUGGUGACUUUGACCUACCUCCAUCCCAAAUUCAUCGGGUAUUAAACCCUGCAUGUAUAGAUACAUCUAUGAAAAUCAAAAAAUAAAAUACUCAAAAAUUAAGUCGGAAGAUCCGACUGCUUGCAGCCAUUGCGAUUGUUUUGAUCGGUGCCCCUGAGUUCGCAGUCUAAUUGAAGAAAAUACAUGUCACAUAAUCUUUUGGCACUAGGCCUUAGAAAAGGAUCGCAAUACUCCACAUCACAAGUUCUAAAAGGCCAAUUCAUUAAAGAAUCCCAAGAAAGAGGAACCAAAACGCUCCACAUCAGAAACCAUAGUAAGGUGACUUUGGUUAUGAUGGUUCAUGUCACAGUGAUGGAAAAAGUAUGUUAAGAGUCUGAAAAAUUGAGGAAGAAAGACUCCACUUUGUAGGUGCGAUCAAAUCAGCAAAGCACAGGAUCUUCAAAAGAAUCAUCUAAUUAAAGGAAGUUUAAACUUUAAACAACGAUUAGGUCUUGAUAUUAUAUUUAAUUUUUUAAUACCUUUCUUCCUCUCUUCUCUCGCGUUAGCAAGCACGAGCCUUUUGCAUCAGAAGCUAGUCAAAGAGGUUCAUGGCUAGCUGGGUACCAUCCAUCUCCAUCACAUGGUGAUUUGAUUUGGGGGACCAAAAAGAUUUUUUAAAUUUAUCUUUUUUGCACAUAUUCGGGACAAAUCGAGCCAAAUUCAUGAACCCUGCCCUCUUGUCCAAGAGAAAAGAGAUGAUAUUAUUCGAGGAAACACUCAAUGUAGAUUAAUCAAUACUCUAAAAGCUUAAGUUGUAACAGAGAACAAUGUAUAUUAGUACUAUAGAAAAAGGGUCAACAAUAUAUAUCAGGCUUAGUACCUAUCUCAGGUGCAGCUCGGACCAUGCAUGUGGAGGAAUAAUUGCUUACCCAAGAGACAAGCGAUUAUAGCCAUAUGAGCAAGCACUCAGUGUUAGUUAACAAAUUUACUCCCCUCACAUGUAAUCAGGAUUCAAAUUUGUGACCUUCAGAAAACUUGAGCUAUGAUACUAUGUUAGUUAACAAAUUGACCACGAAAGUUUAAGCUGAAAGAGAAGGGGCCAACGACGAUAUAUAUUAUGCUUAAAAAGAAUUCACAUGAAAAGCCAAUUAGAGUUGGCACCUACAUUACUCAAACUUUGGCACCAUGCAUAUGAUUUAUAGCACAAGAUAUUAGCAGUAAAAAUGAAGGUUUAGUUUUCCUUAAAAAGAAAAAAAGGGAAAGAUGUGAAUGCCAAUAGUUCUGGUUGAAUGACAAGCAAGAUGGAUUGUUGUGAUGUCAAGAUUAUAUCAUCUCUCUAAAUUUGUGUUUGAAUAUAAAGAGAUCUCAUUUUUUUUUUUCCCUCUCCCAAACAUUAAGGAAAAAAAGAACUAAGCAAUGGAGAUGUCUUCAGUAAAAAUACAUACUACAAGAAAAUUCCUUUGAAGUAAGGAGAUAGAUAUAUAGCCGAUCAAUUAAAUGUUUGAUAAAAGUUUUAUUAUACAAUAGUAGAGAUUUUAGUGCCCGUCAAUUGAUUUGAAAUUUUCACAUUCUUUUGAAACAACCAUUUUUAUUAGAUUUUGAAACAACCAUUUAGCCAAUAUAAUAACAUAUAGAUGCCUGAUUAUAUGUUUGAACUAUUAUUAAUAUAACAAUAUACACUAUUAAAUUUAAUCUACUAAAUAGAGUUGGCAGUGGACUGAGUUGGGUUGUAUAAGAUCCUAUAUUUUAUAAUCGAGCUUUUUUAAAAAAAAUUUGGGUAGAUUUUUUAGCAGAUCGAGCCAAACGAGAAAUGUGUAGUUGGUUUGUUUAUUUUGGAUGCUUCAUGAUGAUUUCUCUGGUCAUAUAGGAUAUCUAAAAAGAUGAGAACAAAAUAAGGCCAAAAAGGAAGAAUUUACGAUCUUUUGCUCAUAGAUAAAUCUGAUUUGAAUUACAAAAAAGCAAAGUUAAAACAUGGAUUUUGGCUUGUUUUAUUCAAAGCAUAUAUAAAUGCUCCAACCUUUGGACCUUUGGCAGUCGGCAAAGUUCAGUCGACCAUCAAAUAUAAGUCAUACUGAUAAGAGUUUCAAAGGCGAGCAUUAUUGGAGGCAGUAUUUCAUAAAUCUGACAAGAUUCCUCUUUCCUGUAGUGACUUUUCCUUUGUUAAUCAUUCAACUAUGAAAGGAAGUGACAACUCUUGUAAAACAAAUGAAGACUCUUAGGUGCACUCUUUUUAUUCAAAGCAUAUAUAAGUGCUCCAUUUUUCUAUGAGUUGUUCCAUUCAAACGGGAGAACUCACUAGCCACUAUGCUCUUCAAUGUCCCACAUGAUGAAUCAUCCAAGCACCACAAAAAGGAAGAAGGAAGUGGCUUGAAUGGAAACUAUGAUCAUUUGUGAUGACAAAAGAUCUCAUCCCGAAACAUCUUACUGUAAUUAGGGAUAUAAUUAUUAAGUCACCAGCCUAUGAUGGACAACCGAGAAAUAGGGAUGGCAAUUUAUGAACCAACAAAUCAAUCUGACCCACAAACAACCUGCUUCGAGCAGGUUUGAGUUUGAUACAAAUGGGUUUGGAUCAUAUACCGGUCGACCUAUUUAGAACUGCUUAUUAAAUAGGUUAGGUUCCGAUUUAGAUCUUCAACCCGUUUAACCCAUUUUGAUCUAUUUAAUAAUUGGAUCGGAUUAUAACUUGAUCCAUUUAACCCGUUUAAGAUUUGUUUAUGUUGUUUAAAACCUACUUAACUAGUUUCUGUUAUGUUUAACCCUGCCCGCUUAACCAAUUUAACCUAUUUAAAUCCAUUUAAUUUUUUAAAAACACACAUAGCCUGUUUAACCUGUUUAAUUUGACUUAACCUGUUUAAUAAAUAGGUUAUCCGUUUAAUAAACAGGUCAGGUUCGGAUCUAAAUUUUUGACCUGUUUAAUAAACAAGUCAGAUUUGGAUUGAUAAAUUUUUGACCCAACUUGCAUCCAAUCCGACCCAACUCAAUUGCCACCCUAACCAGGAAACCACUGCAAACUAGAAGGCAUGAGCUUCUAGGGCAAAGGUAGGUUGUGAAUCUCAACACACCAUGAUACUGUAAUAUUUAAUCUGAAGGAAUGCUAAGAAAUUUGUAACCUAAUUCCAGAAGACAUUGAUCUUCAUUCAAGCAGGACACUACAUGGAUAAAUGAUUACUGGAAACUAAAAGAAAGGGUUAAAGAAAAGGAUGUUACCUGAAAAGAGAGAGAUGAUGAGCAGUGGACUUACAACUACGUGCUAGAUGUCCAUCUCCAUCCAGAAGUAUAAUGUUAGAUGGGAACAUUUUAUACUCAUAAGCAACAAUUUAUAGGAGUAUAGAAACGGAAUCCAAUGAUGCCAAUAUUAUUGGAUGGUUCCCUUCAGAAAAGAUAGCGCAUAGGAUGUUACGUGGGGGAAAAUUUCUCAACCAAUAACAACUUCAUGGAUAGAUGCAAAGCACACAUAUGAACAAACAAAUGCCUUUUCAUUAAUAGAUGCGUAAGGGUGGCAAUUUAUGACCCAACCUGUCGAUCAGAUCCGCAAAUGACCUGCUUUAAGCAGAUUUGGAUUUGACAUAAACAAAUUUAGAUUGUAAAUGGGUCAACCCGUCUAAACCUAUUUAUUAAAUGGGUUGGGUUCAGAUUUAAACUUUUGACCCGUUUAAUAAUUGGGUGGGUUAUGAUCCGAUCUGUUUAACCUAUUUAACGUCUGUUUUACCUGUUUGAAACCUGCAUAAUCUAUUUCUGACCUGUUUAACCCGACCCGCUUAACCUGUUUAAUCUGUUUAAAUCAAUUUAACCCGUUUAAAACUCACCUAACCUGUUUAAAACCCGCCGAACCCAUUUAACCUAUUUAAUAAAUAGGUUAUGUGGGUCAAGUUUGGUUAAAUAUGUCGGAUUCAGAUUUAAAUUUUGACCUGUUUAAUAAACAUGUCGGAUUUGGGUUGAUGAAUUUUUGACCCGAUCCGUAUCCUACUCGACCCGACCCUAUUGCCAUCCCUAAAUUAGAUGGUUCAUAUACUCGGUCAGAAGUCAACAGAAAGUUGCUAUCACAUGUGAAAGAGUGGACACCAUUAGAAAAUAAUAUUGCAUUGCAGGUCCUUUAUUUUGUUCUUUCUUUGUUGAUCCUUCUUCUCACUUUUGACCUCCUUGGUAUUUCUACUUUGUUUGUACUCUUUAAUGAAUUAAUCCUUUAGGCACUUGGUGCCUAUUGUUCCUCUUAAAAUGAUAAGGCAAUCCAUUUCCAACAUCCAUCCACUCAUUUUAAAGGUGGCAUCUCCAUUGGCGAGUAAUGGUCGGUAAGCAAGCUAGCUUGAUUUGACUCGCUCCAAAUCCUUCGGUAAGGACCACCCAAUGCUCAUCUUUUCAAAUGGAGAGGGACCUAUUGGAAUUGGAUAGAGAUGGCCACUAGAAGGACAUAGCAUAUUAGUAGUAGAUGCUAAAAGGUCCAAUAAAAGAAGAAAACAAUGUUUCCAAUCUAACAACGGCUGCAUUAUUUAUGUGUUAUAAUAUGGUAUUGUAACGCACUUGCCUUCUUCGGUGGAUGCAUAUGUUUGUCUAUUUCUAUUGCAUUGUCUAGAGAGAAUCCUAGACAAGGUAAUUGCCUGUUAAUGACUCCAUCCGUUCCAUUCAAAGUGAUGAAAAGAUAUGGUUGAAAUAUUCGUAUUAAUAUCCACUCACCAAGAUGUUGGGGUCAUGCUUGAGCUCAGCUCAUACUCGGCUUGAAAAAAGCUCAAAUCAAGUUUAAUGCGAAGCUAAACAAACCAAUUUUGAAUCAGCAAAAUAGGCUUCGAGCCAAAAAUCAACCCAACUCAAUCAAGCUCGACUCGAUAAUCCUCAUAUACAUUUGCAUUAUAUAUUUCAUGCAUAAUAGAUUGUUAGAUUGAGACUUUAAUUGGUACGUUCUUUUAUUCCUUAGAUUUUUUAAAUAUUACUAUAAACUUGGACCACACUUUAAAUUAAAUUAAGCAUCUAGCUUUUUAUUUUAGCUUGAGCAAAGUUUGAUUUAAUCCUAUAAAUAAGCAUGAAUUGAACUCAGAAUAAUGAUAAAAAUGUAUCAAGCUUGAUCGUGGGAUUCAAGCUGGAAACUAAUUUCAAACCAAGCUUGAUCAGGCAUAAACUCGAGCAAGCUUGGCUGGGAUUGCACCCCUAGCAUUAUGAUAUACAAAAUUGCUUUGGUAACUCAGAAAUGUAACUCUGAAAGUCACUCAACUGGUACAUUAUAUUCUCAUUGGUCCCUUUUAAUUAGAAUGUGAUAAAGCAAUGUUUACUCCAUAAAACAGUUGAGCUGACUCUUCUGAGUGAUUUUUCUGAGCUACCAUGGCACUUCUCUAUGGUAAAUAUUGUUAUUAUGUUUGUUGAUACAAAAUAGAUAGAUCUGAAGAUAGUAACAGAAAAGAUAUUAAUAUAUUGGCCGAGAUACAACAAAACAUAAUGAAUGAUGCAGAUCAUUAACUGGGAUGACCUACUGUCAUUCUGACAUAGAUCAUUACUGAUUGUAUCAUACCUUGCAACAUUAACUUAAGCAAAGCCCGCAAAGGAACCAUUUCUAUCCAUGAGCUUGUAUGCAUCGAUCAUGUUGGGUUAGUGAGCACCUUUACUCACAAUUGUUCAUAAUUUAUAAAGUUCCAGGCCCUGAUAUUUUAUCGUUUAGGCAAAACAUGGAAGAUCUAAACCCAAUCCUAGACACAAGUGAGUUAUGGAUUUAUAUCCGAUCCAAUGGAGAGGCAAUCAAGUUUCAGCCUUAAGAUUUCAAGUGAGAUACAGCUCAAAAACUCUUCAGGAUUUGUUUCCUGCGUUAAGAGGCCAUUUUUGAUAAGUUAUCAUUCAGAAUUGACUGCAAUAAGGCGACAAAUCUUCUACAACCCAAAGUUAUAGGAAAUUCCGGCAGCUCUAAGAGGGCCUACACCAGCUGCCCAACCUGAACAUGGCCUGAGACGAAGUGGACCAUCGUCAUAUGUUGGGCAAAAUCAGACCUAAAAUGAGAUGGAUCAAGUAAUACUCUGGUCUAGGCCUCGUUUGGAACCUGAUCCUGUCACAAAGCUUAUCUGCCAGCACGACCAAUCGUAUUGUUGGAUCUUCAGUCAGUGCAAAUGAGCCAAGCAACUCGUGAGAUGCUAGCUCAGCUGGACUAGAUUAUUACCAAGCUCACACUAUAACAAAAAUAAGGUUUUUCGACUCUUACCUGCCGACACAAGAAAGAAGCAUCGGUAAAUUGGUGACCAUGCCAAAAUUUGCCGACGUAGGCAGGAAUUAAACCAAAACGAUGCUGGUACUAGUGUCAUCAGAAUCCAAGAUUAAGACGACGCUAACAAGCGUUAUUGAAAGCCAAAUCCACCCCACCACCCUCGACGACCACCACACUUUAGCUUCCGACGACGCUUAUUUUGGCUUUAGACAACGCUUAUAAGCAUCGUUGGAAGCCAAACUACCACCCAAUGCUUAUAAGCAUUGUCGGAAGUCAAAUUGCCACCCACGCUGUGCUUUGGCCUCUGACGACGCUUAUAAAUGUCGUCAAAGGCCAUUACUCCUCCAACCUAAAUAAGAUAUAAGCCGUUCUUCUGCCAUUUGGUGCCCUAAAGCACAACUUAGCCGCUGCUAUAGAGGAGAAGCGACAAGAUAAAGUCGAUCAGUCGAUCCUUUAGGUCAUGCGCGCCACCUACAAGGGUCGGAAGGGCAAGGUCGUCCAAGUCUACUGCAAGAAGUGGGUCAUCCAUGUCGAGCGCAUCACCUGUGAGAAGGUGAAUGGAUCUGUGAAGCUUCUCCGGAGUACAACCAGCUCCUCAGUGGUGAUGCGCUGGAUCGGCCGCCUCAGAGCUCCUUGGGCAACCGCAGACCACAUCAGAGCAGGUCCGGUCAUCCUCGGAGGAGGUUCCACCCUCCCCCCCUUUGGAUGCAAAGGGUCACCACCCCACAUUGGCCUCCGAUCUGGCCAGCACACUGGCUUUGCGAUCCGUCAUCAGUGCUGUCCACCAAGAGUUUGAAGAAAUGAUCACACAGUAGCCCGGUCGCACGAGGUGUCUCCCCACCUUAGGAUUCUUAGUGUUUGCUAUCUCUGUUAUUACAUAUUCCAUACUUCAGUGAUUGGGAGGACCAUUGAGAGUUUUGCUUUUUUAUUUUCUCUUUUGAUCUAGAUAAAUCUCAUGUUUUAGUGCGUUAUAGAUUACCUCAAAAAAUGUGGUUUGAAAAUUAGCUUCAGACAAGAAUGUGCUUUUAUCAUAUUAAUUCUAAAAUCGGCUUGAUGAGAUUGCAUUGAUGGCAUUCUCUUCGUGUUUGAAGCUAAUGCUAUACUACUUUUUUUUUUUAUCAUCCUUGUGGAAGAGGAGAUUGAUGUAUGUCUGAAAAUUUAUUUAUUUUGAUAAAUUUUGGUUUUAUAGUUACACUACUGGUAGUUAGCGAAGCUUUUUACAAGCAUCGAUAGACUUUUUUUUUCACUCUUGUAUCGCCGACACUUUUGCGAUGCUUUCUAAAGUGUCGGCGAUAAAAUUACCGAUGCUUAUAAGCGCCAGUAUAUGCUCUAAAAAAUAUCGAAAAAGAUAGUUUUUUUUUGUAGUUCAAGUAGCUUGAACAAUUUUUGAGUCAAGUUAGAGUAACAAAAUAAUUGGUCGAAUCGAGUAUACACAUACAUACAUACAUAUAUAUAUAUAUAUAUAUAUAUAAAAUAUAAUAUUUUACUUAUAAAUAUUAUUAAUAUAAUAUUUUACAAAUAUAAUAUUUAUAUAUUUUUUAAUUUGAUCUAAGUUCUAACUUUUAUAAUUAUGACCAAGGCUUGAAUUUGAGCUCGAACUCGAGCUCGAGUAUGGCUCAGUUGAUAUUUGAGUUAAUCUCGUGUAUUACUUUUUUUUCUUUUUUGAUCAAGUCAAGUUCGAAUUUGGAUGUUAAGGCUUUGAUCGAUCUUGAAUCGAGUUUUGAGUUCGAGUAUUUUAAAUCGGUCAAGCUCAAGCCGCUAGCUUCUAGACUCAUCCCGACUUGAUUGUUUUCUUCUUUUUUUUUUUUGGAUCGAUCUUGAGUAUUUUGAUACUCCAGCUAAAAAAGUAGAGUUGAUCAUAGGUUGGGCUUGCUCAUAGGUAAUCUUAAAUUUUAAAUAGAUCCGGCCCAAAACUAAAUUAAAAAUAAAUAGAGUUUUGGCCCGAAGUUUGAUUUGCUCUUCUAAGAAGCUAUCCUGACCUAAGGCCAUUGUGAGCAAUUUCCAAGUUCACCUCAACUCUACAAUUGCUGCGAUGUUCUCUAGAAAGAAAGGACAUAGUGGGGACC
RNAcentral lists this long non-coding RNA (8871 nucleotides) under Phoenix dactylifera (date palm). Its description in RNAcentral is "long non-coding RNA (PDAC_LNC004824)". Lineage: Eukaryota; Viridiplantae; Streptophyta; Magnoliopsida; Arecales; Arecaceae. The record is from RNAcentral.